UGGGGAAUAUUGCGCAAUGGAGGAAACUCUGACGCAGCGACGCCGCGUGGGUGAUGAAGGCCUUCGGGUUGUAAAGCCCUGUCGGCUGGGAAAAAGGUAGUCGUGCUAAUACCACGAUUGCUUGAUGGUACCAGCAAAGGAAGCACCGGCUAACUCUGUGCCAGCAGCCGCGGUAAUACAGAGGGUGCAAGCGUUGUUCGGAAUUACUGGGCGUAAAGGGCGCGUAGGCGGCUCAACAAGUCUGUUGUGAAAUCCCGGGGCUUAACCUCGGAAGUGCAGUGGAAACUGUUGGGCUAGAGUGCAGUAGAGGAUGGUGGAAUACCCAGUGUAGAGGUGAAAUUCGUAGAUAUUGGGUGGAACACCGGUGGCGAAGGCGGCCAUCUGGGCUGCAACUGACGCU
Molecule: ribosomal RNA, 400 nt
Filed under: uncultured bacterium
Lineage: Bacteria
Description: bacterial SSU rRNA
Rfam family: Bacterial small subunit ribosomal RNA
Source: RNAcentral